This 492-nucleotide ribosomal RNA is filed under the name uncultured bacterium. Its description in RNAcentral is "partial 16S ribosomal RNA". It matches the Rfam family "Bacterial small subunit ribosomal RNA", at positions 28 to 507 of the family's 1533-position model. The record is from RNAcentral.
GAUGAACGCUAGCUACAGGCUUAACACAUGCAAGUCGAGGGGAAACGGCAUCGAAAGCUUGCUUUUGAUGGCCGUCGACCGGCGCACGGGUGAGUAACGCGUAUCCAACCUGCCCAUCACUUGGGAAUAACCUUGCGAAAGUAAGACUAAUGCCCAAUGACAUCCCACGAAGGCAUCCGAAUGGGAUUAAAGAUUUAUCGGUGAUGGAUGGGGAUGCGUCUGAUUAGCUUGUUGGCGGGGUGACGGCCCACCAAGGCAACGAUCAGUAGGGGUUCUGAGAGGAAGGUCCCCCACAUUGGAACUGAGACACGGUCCAAACUCCUACGGGAGGCAGCAGUGAGGAAUAUUGGUCAAUGGGCGAGAGCCUGAACCAGCCAAGUAGCGUGCAGGAUGACGGCCCUAUGGGUUGUAAACUGCUUUUAUAAGGGAAUAAAGUGGGUCACGUGUGACUUUUUGCAUGUACCUUAUGAAUAAGGACCGGCUAAUUCCGUG